GAAGUGGGGAUGACGUCAAAUCAUCAUGCCCUUAUGACCUGGGCUACACACGUGCUACGAAUGGUUGGUACAACGAGUUGCGAGUCGGUGACGGCGAGCUAAUCUCUUAAAGCCAAUCUCAGUUCGGAUUGUAGGCUGCAACUCGCCUACAUGAAGUCGGAAUCGCUAGUAAUCGCGGAUCAGCACGCCGCGGUGAAUACGUUCCCGGGCCUU
RNAcentral lists this ribosomal RNA (213 nucleotides) under uncultured Streptococcus sp. RNAcentral's name for it is "partial 16S ribosomal RNA". It matches the Rfam family "Bacterial small subunit ribosomal RNA", at positions 1170 to 1382 of the family's 1533-position model. The record is from RNAcentral. Lineage: Bacteria; Bacillati; Bacillota; Bacilli; Lactobacillales; Streptococcaceae.